CUUUGCUGCCUUGUUAUAAUAUGAUUAUUGUGUGUUUUAGAACUGCAACCUUCUUAUAAAAACUGUGGAAGAAACAGGUGGAAUACUCCGUGAAAUAAGAGACCUUGAAGACCAGUUGGAAAAUGAGAGUCACAAGAAAACAACGGCCAACUUAGAAAAGAUCCAGUCUGACUUCAACGAGAUGAAGAAAGAAAAUAGUACUCUGAUUGCAAAACUGAAAGGAAAAUGAUUUU
Molecule: long non-coding RNA, 233 nt
Organism: Lingula anatina
Lineage: Eukaryota; Metazoa; Brachiopoda; Lingulata; Lingulida; Lingulidae
Source: RefSeq, a predicted model, not a curated record